Molecule: ribosomal RNA, 181 nt
Filed under: uncultured bacterium
Lineage: Bacteria
Description: partial 16S ribosomal RNA
Rfam family: Bacterial small subunit ribosomal RNA
Source: RNAcentral
UAAUACGAAGGGGGCUAGCGUUGCUCGGAAUUACUGGGCGUAAAGGGCGCGUAGGCGGCUCUGUUAGUCAGGCGUGAAAGCCCUGGGCUCAACCUGGGGACUGCGCUUGAUACGGCAGGGCUUGAGGGCAGAAGAGGCUCGCGGAAUUCCCAGUGUAGAGGUGAAAUUCGUAGAUAUUGGG